This 493-nucleotide ribosomal RNA is filed under the name uncultured bacterium. RNAcentral describes it as "partial 16S ribosomal RNA". It matches the Rfam family "Bacterial small subunit ribosomal RNA", at positions 30 to 523 of the family's 1533-position model. The record is from RNAcentral.
AUUGAACGCUGGCGGCAUGCCUUACACAUGCAAGUCGAACGGUAACAGGUUAAGCUGACGAGUGGCGAACGGGUGAGUAACACAUCGGAACGUGCCCAAUCGUGGGGGAUAACGUAGCGAAAGCUACGCUAAUACCGCAUACGAUCUACGGAUGAAAGCGGGGGAUCGCAAGACCUCGCGCGAAUGGAGCGGCCGAUGGCAGAUUAGGUAGUUGGUGAGGUAAAGGCUCACCAAGCCUGCGAUCUGUAGCUGGUCUGAGGGGACGACCAGCCAGACUGGGACUGGGACACGGCCCAGACUCCUACGGGAGGCAGCAGUGGGGAAUUUUGGACGAUGGGCGCAAGCCUGAUCCAGCAAUGCCGCGUGCAGGAUGAAGGCCUUCGGGUUGUAAACUGCUUUUGUACGGAACGAAACGGUCCUUUCUAAUACAGGGGGCUAAUGACGGUACCGUAAGAAUAAGCACCGGCUAACUACGUGCCAGCAGCCGCAGUAA